This 652-nucleotide ribosomal RNA is filed under the name uncultured Bacillota bacterium. RNAcentral describes it as "bacterial SSU rRNA". It matches the Rfam family "Bacterial small subunit ribosomal RNA", at positions 89 to 752 of the family's 1533-position model. Lineage: Bacteria; Bacillati; Bacillota. The record is from RNAcentral.
UGGUUAGCGGCGAACGGUCGCGUAACACGUAGGCAACCUGCCCCAGAGACCGGGACAACACUCCGAAAGGGGUGCUAAUACCGGAUGUGGCCGACGGGAGUAUCUCCUGUCGUUUAAAUCAUCUUCGGAUGGCUCUGGGAGGGGCCUGCGGCCUAUCAGCUAGAUGGCGGGGUAACGGCUCACCAUGGCGACGACGGGUAGCUGGUCUGAGAGGAUGGUCAGCCGGACUGGGACUGAGAUACGGCCCAGACUCCUACGGGGGGCAGCAAUUAGGAAUCUUGCGCAAUGGGCGAAAGCCUGACGCAGCGACGCCGCGUGGGGGAGGAAGUCCUUCGGGAUGUAAACUCCUUUUGACAAGGAAGAAACAAAUGACGGUACUUGUCGAAUAAGCCCCGGCUAACUACGUGCCAGCAGCCGCGGUAAUACGUAGGGGGCGAGCGUUGUCCGAAGCUACUGGGCGUAAAGCGCGCGUAGGCGGGGUGUUAAGUCCGCUGUGAAAGCCCGGAGCUCAACUCCGGAGGGUCGGUGGAUACUGAUACUCUUGAAGGUGCUAGGGGGAGAUGGAAUUACCGGUGUAGCGGUGAAAUGCGUAGAGAUCGGUAGGAACACCAGUGGCGAAGGCGGUCUCCUGGGGCACACUUGACGCUGAGGC